Molecule: ribosomal RNA, 497 nt
Filed under: uncultured bacterium
Lineage: Bacteria
Description: partial 16S ribosomal RNA
Rfam family: Bacterial small subunit ribosomal RNA
Source: RNAcentral
GAUGAACGCUGGCGGCGUGCCUAAUACAUGCAAGUCGAGCGAACAGACGAGGAGCUUGCUCCUUCGACGUUAGCGGCGGACGGGUGAGUAACACGUAGGUAACCUACCUAUAAGACUGGGAUAACUUCGGGAAACCGGAGCUAAUACCGGAUAAUAUUUCGAACCGCAUGGUUCGAUAGUGAAAGAUGGCUUUGCUAUCACUUAUAGAUGGACCUGCGCCGUAUUAGCUAGUUGGUAAGGUAACGGCUUACCAAGGCAACGAUACGUAGCCGACCUGAGAGGGUGAUCGGCCACACUGGAACUGAGACACGGUUCAGACUCCUAAGGGAGGCAGCAGUAGGGAAUCUUCCGCAAUGGGCGAAAGCCUGACGGAGCAACGCCGCGUGAGUGAUGAAGGUCUUCGGAUCGUAAAACUCUGUUAUUAGGGAAGAACAAACGUGUAAGUAACUGUGCACGUCUUGACGGUACCUAAUCAGAAAGCCACGGCUAACUACGUG